CGGGACGUGGCGCAGCCUGGUAGCGCACUCGCUUUGGGAGCGAGGGGCCGCCGGUUCGAAUCCGGCCGUCCCGA
This 74-nucleotide transfer RNA is filed under the name Gaiellaceae bacterium. RNAcentral describes it as "tRNA-Pro". It matches the Rfam family "tRNA". From Rfam's summary of the family: Transfer RNA (tRNA) molecules are approximately 80 nucleotides in length. Their secondary structure includes four short double-helical elements and three loops (D, anti-codon, and T loops). RNAcentral also lists the same sequence under 2 other names. The record is from RNAcentral. Lineage: Bacteria; Bacillati; Actinomycetota; Thermoleophilia; Gaiellales; Gaiellaceae.